Molecule: long non-coding RNA, 463 nt
Organism: Acomys russatus (golden spiny mouse)
Lineage: Eukaryota; Metazoa; Chordata; Mammalia; Rodentia; Muridae
Exons: 3
Source: RefSeq, a predicted model, not a curated record
UAAUUUUUAGUGACAGGAUUGAACUCACAGCCUUGUUCAUCAUGCAAGUGCUAGCUCUCACUUGGAGCCACACUCCAAGCCUUAUUUUCCUCAUUUUGACUCUAAGAAGCUGAGAUUCAGAGAGGCCAAGUGACUCUCCUAAGGCGGUCCAGCUACUAAGAGGUGAGAAUUGUGUGUGCUGACUUAGGUUGUGCUGUGUGACCCAACCUGAAAAUCUCUAACCAACAAAAUGAACCAUGGUCGUUAAUGGCUGGACAGCCUAUAUAAAGGACGUGGAAGAAGGAAGCGUGGUCUUUUUGCUGCUUGCUCUCGCUCUCACUGGUGAGUCCGUUCCUUUUGUUAGCAUUCGAGGCGACUUCUUCUGGAUUCCAGUGUAAACUGAAGACCAGCUGAGACGUCCAGAUGCAUGAACUGAGUCCUUGGACUUUCCAUCAGGAGACAACCAUUGUUGGAUGAGCUGGAC